This 253-nucleotide ribosomal RNA is filed under the name uncultured bacterium. Its description in RNAcentral is "partial 16S ribosomal RNA". It matches the Rfam family "Bacterial small subunit ribosomal RNA", at positions 524 to 776 of the family's 1533-position model. The record is from RNAcentral.
UACGAAGGGGGCGAGCGUUGUUCGGAAUUACUGGGCGUAAAGCGCGCGCAGGCGGCCAUUCAAGUCAGGGGUGAAAGCCCAGAGCUCAACUCUGGAACUGCCCUUGAAACUGUAUGGCUUGAGUAUGAGAGAGGUGAGUGGAAUUCCCAGUGUAGAGGUGAAAUUCGUAGAGAUCGGGAGGAACAUCAGUGGCGAAGGCGGCCAUCUGGGACAACACUGACGCUGAAGCACGAAAGCGUGGGGAGCAAACAGG